UUCUCUGGUUUAAAGGAAUCAAAUAGCCACACAAUUGCUAACAGCGGCUUCCAAAGUGGAGUCAAAAUGUUUUACUCAAAGGGGCAUUCUAAGCACCAUAACCACCACAGAGACCUAUGGGCUAUUAUGCCAUGUGUCCCCUGACUCUGUCCCACUGUUAAGUGUCAAGCCGUUUUCAAAUUGUUUGAAACUCACCUGAGCCCUCUUUGCACAGGUAUCACUAAAGAAGAAGGCUCCAUUCUUCUUAAAGGAACACUAUAGGGUCAGGAACAGAAACAUGCACCUGACCCUAAUGUGUAAAAAACACCUUUAUUCCAGUCUGCUGGUGCUGGUUCUGCCCUUGGUCUGCCUCCUUGGCUGACAUCAUCAGAAGUGGUUUUCUGGGUUAAUCACAAUGCUUUCACAUAGAAAAACAUUGGAUUAGCUAAAUUUGUCAAAGAGGC
Non-coding RNA from Pelobates cultripes (western spadefoot toad), 443 nucleotides. Lineage: Eukaryota; Metazoa; Chordata; Amphibia; Anura; Pelobatidae. The record is from the annotation of a GenBank genome assembly.